RNAcentral lists this non-coding RNA (23 nucleotides) under Gossypium hirsutum (cotton). Lineage: Eukaryota; Viridiplantae; Streptophyta; Magnoliopsida; Malvales; Malvaceae. The record is from RNAcentral.
UAAAAAUAUAACUACUUGCUCCC